GGUGCCUGCAGUCAGGGCGCCGCCGCCCAAGCUGACUCCUCUCUCUCCCUCUCCAACCCGGCAGGGCCCAGAGGUGAUUCUGCCUGCACGAUGUCCUCCUUCCUGGAAGCGAGCUCUUCGCAGGCGCCACGUCGCGAACAAAAAGAGAAAGACAAAAAGAAAAGAAAAAGCAGAAGAAGCAGCCAGGGAAGCGGGCCUUAAAGGCGUUGGGGGUCAGCUCGGCCUAGGGCAGGCGCGCUAUGAUAGCGGCGGGGUUUCAAACAGAGACUGCAGCCUUCAGUGUCCAGGGACGAAGCCCAGGCCAGCCCUGCCAGGGGACCUGGAGGCGUGGUGCUCGCGCGGACCCCUAGCCCGACCUCCGGUCUGGCCCCAGGGACAGCAAGCAGCAAGCAGGGCGGGCUGCACCGCCAGAGCAGCAGAAUCAAGAUCUCACUGUGGGAGCAGACAAAGCCCCGAGGAAGUGAAGCCCUGAGUGGAUGUGUGCUGUAAAUGACCAUGCCAAGGACACAAAGCCAUUUUUCCAUGGGGAAA
RNAcentral lists this long non-coding RNA (531 nucleotides) under Rattus norvegicus (Norway rat). RNAcentral's name for it is "long non-coding RNA NONRATT009573". The record is from RNAcentral. Lineage: Eukaryota; Metazoa; Chordata; Mammalia; Rodentia; Muridae.